ACACGUGUAUCCGAAGGACUCUCGGCAACGGAUAUCUCGGCUCUUGCAUCGAUGAAGAACGUAGCGAAAUGCGAUACUUGGUGUGAAUUGCAGAAUCCCGUGAACCAUCGAGUCUUUGAACGCAAGUUGCGCCCGAAGCCAUUAGGCUGAGGGCACGCCUGCCUGGGU
This 168-nucleotide ribosomal RNA is filed under the name Crotalaria hebecarpa. Its description in RNAcentral is "5.8S ribosomal RNA". It matches the Rfam family "5.8S ribosomal RNA". Rfam says of the family: 5.8S ribosomal RNA (5.8S rRNA) is a component of the large subunit of the eukaryotic ribosome. The record is from RNAcentral. Lineage: Eukaryota; Viridiplantae; Streptophyta; Magnoliopsida; Fabales; Fabaceae.